AAAACCUCGCAAGGGGUUAGUAGAGUGGCGAACGGGUGAGUAACACGUGGGUGACCUGCCUUCGAAUGGGGGAUAACGUCCCGAAAGGGACGCUAAUACCGCAUAACAUCCUGCCUUUGAACAGGUGGAGAUCAAAGCCGGGGAUCGCAAGACCUGGCGUUUGAAGAGGGGCCCGCGUCUGAUUAGCUAGUUGGUGAGGUAACGGCUCACCAAGGCGACGAUCAGUAUCCGGCCUGAGAGGGCGGACGGACACACUGGGACUGAGACACGGCCCAGACUCCUACGGGAGGCAGCAGUGGGGAAUUGUUCGCAAUGGGCGCAAGCCUGACGACGCAACGCCGCGUGGAGGAUGAAGGUCUUCGGAUUGUAAACUCCUGUUGCCCGGGACGAAACGUUUCGACCUAACACGUCGAGACCUGACGGUACCGGGUGAGGAAGCCCCGGCUAACUCUGUGCCAGCAGCCGCGGUAAUACAGAGGGGGCAAGCGUUGUUCGGAAUUACUGGGCGUAAAGGGCGCGUAGGCGGCCUUCUAAGUCGAACGUGAAAUCCCCGGGCUCAACCCGGGAACUGCGUCCGAUACUGGAAGGCUUGAAUCCGGGAGAGGGAUGCGGAAUUCCAGGUGUAGCGGUGAAAUGCGUAGAUAUCUGGAGGAACACCGGUGGCGAAGGCGGCAUCCUGGACCGGCAUUGACGCUGAGGCGCGAAAGCCAGGGGAGCAAACGGGAUUAGAUACCCCGGUAGUCCUGGCCCUAAACGAUGAAUGCUUGGUGUGGCGGGUAUCGAUCCCUGCCGUGCCGAAGCUGACGCA
RNAcentral lists this ribosomal RNA (808 nucleotides) under uncultured Bacillota bacterium. Its description in RNAcentral is "bacterial SSU rRNA". It matches the Rfam family "Bacterial small subunit ribosomal RNA", at positions 71 to 859 of the family's 1533-position model. Lineage: Bacteria; Bacillati; Bacillota. The record is from RNAcentral.